CCAAGACUGAGACUGCGGGGUGCCUCUUGGGAAGGGAAGAGGUUUUUCGUCGACAAAUAUUUUUAUAUUUAAAGUAGAACUCUUUAAAUAAUAGAAAACUAUGAAACACGCACCACUGAUAUGUUAUAAAAGAAAUAAGAGCGUUCACAUGGGCACUUAGUCGAUGUGGUUACCUAAAAGAGCUUGAAGACUUGCAGAACACUGUGCCAAUCGUUCCUCUGGGUC
Molecule: long non-coding RNA, 225 nt
Organism: Danaus plexippus (monarch butterfly)
Lineage: Eukaryota; Metazoa; Arthropoda; Insecta; Lepidoptera; Nymphalidae
Exons: 3
Source: RefSeq, a predicted model, not a curated record